This 424-nucleotide unclassified non-coding RNA is filed under the name fungal sp. RNAcentral's name for it is "partial internal transcribed spacer region". The stretch from base 1 to 46 matches the Rfam family "Eukaryotic small subunit ribosomal RNA", at positions 1786 to 1831 of the family's 1831-position model. The record is from RNAcentral. Lineage: Eukaryota; Fungi.
AAGUCGUAACAAGGUUUCCGUAGGUGAACCUGCGGAAGGAUCAUUACUUGUAGCUUAUAGUCCCACAAGGAUUAUAACGAUACAACCAAACACCAAUCUGUGCUCUUUCUUUCACACAACCCACUCAUGUUGCUAUGGUCUGUCAUGCUACCACAUGGCACCCCAUACCACAUUCUUACCUUUCCAUAAUACCAACUGAAAUAUUGUGUGUUGGAUCCCCGGUUUAUACCCGUGGGUUUCCACUCACAUCUGUACUGUCUAUUGCUUUCCAUGGGUUUAGUAUAUACUGUACCCUGGUGAGUGAUGGGAGUACUUGUUGAAUUUUGGGAUGGCUGGGUGGCAUGGGCAUGCAUUCAUCUGCUCGCCCGUGCUACUAUUGCCAUUCUAUUGCAAACAACUCCGAACAAUGGAUAUCUCGGCUCUC